UAGAAGAUGCGUUAGAAGAAUGGUGAAUCCUAUGAACAACAAUGGAGACCAACUUUCUAAUAGCGAUGGGACGAGAAUAGUUUCUGCAACUAUAACUGAACACAUUCCUUCGACUGCUAGUGUUACAGUAACCCCAUCAACAACGGUGAUACCGACAACACUACCUGAAGGGAAGGUUUUAUCCCUAAUACCUCAAAGUCACCUAAUGACUCCAAGACCAAUCAUGUCAUCACACUAUAGGCCUUUUGCCACAAACUUUAUAAUGCACAUACCAGGGUGUGAACAAC
RNAcentral lists this long non-coding RNA (287 nucleotides) under Lathyrus oleraceus (garden pea). RNAcentral describes it as "Pisum sativum (pea) long non-coding RNA (PSAT_LNC028787)". The record is from RNAcentral. Lineage: Eukaryota; Viridiplantae; Streptophyta; Magnoliopsida; Fabales; Fabaceae.